RNAcentral lists this ribosomal RNA (229 nucleotides) under uncultured bacterium. Its description in RNAcentral is "partial 16S ribosomal RNA". It matches the Rfam family "Bacterial small subunit ribosomal RNA", at positions 258 to 504 of the family's 1533-position model. The record is from RNAcentral.
UAACGGCCUACCAAGUCGACGAUCCAUAGCCGGACUGAGAGGUUGAACGGCCACAUUGGGACUGAGACACGGCCCAGACUCCUACGGGAGGCAGCAGUGGGGAAUAUUGCACAAUGGGGGAAACCCUGAUGCAGCAACGCCGCGUGAGGGAAGAAGGUUUUCGGAUUGUAAACCUCUGUCCUUGGUGACGAUAAUGACGGUAGCCAAGGAGGAAGCCACGGCUAACUAC